CUGCUGAGGAGUCCCACAAUAGGACGAAACGACCGUCAAGCAG
Non-coding RNA from Schistosoma mansoni, 43 nucleotides. The record is from Rfam. Lineage: Eukaryota; Metazoa; Platyhelminthes; Trematoda; Strigeidida; Schistosomatidae.